AUCCCAUGCCGAACUCAGCAGUGAAACCGCUCUGCGCCGAUGGUAGUGUGGGGCCUCCCCAUGCGAGAGUAGGUCAUCGUCAGGC
This 85-nucleotide ribosomal RNA is filed under the name Halomonas icarae. Lineage: Bacteria; Pseudomonadati; Pseudomonadota; Gammaproteobacteria; Oceanospirillales; Halomonadaceae. The record is from RNAcentral.